AGAAGAGUUUCAGUCUUCACUUGCUUGCUUUUGCUGUUUUUGUUAGCCCUGACAGGACAAAGACCUUCAUAGUGCCUUCUACAAGCAAAUGGAAACCAGGCUUCCAUCCACAAAUAAGAAUUGGUGACCAUGAAGAAAUUUAGGAGUGGACCUGCAGUCUUCCUAAUGAUGAAUGAUCCAGGGUUAUACACAAACCUAUGCUAAUCAUCCUGUCAGGCCUUAAUCCCACAUUAAGAUCCUACAUGAGUCCAGAGGAAGACCCAGGACUCAUGACAAUGACUCCCAGAAGUCCAACUGGAGGGCUAGAGCCAAAAAGAAGGACUCUACCCAGUCUUUUUUGUGGAUCCUCGCUGAUAAGGCCCAGAGGUAAGUGGUAGAGGCUACAAAGUGCAUGCUAGCAGAG
This 403-nucleotide long non-coding RNA is filed under the name Cavia porcellus (domestic guinea pig). RNAcentral describes it as "lncRNA (ENSCPOG00000033117.1)". The record is from RNAcentral. Lineage: Eukaryota; Metazoa; Chordata; Mammalia; Rodentia; Caviidae.